Molecule: ribosomal RNA, 253 nt
Filed under: uncultured bacterium
Lineage: Bacteria
Description: partial 16S ribosomal RNA
Rfam family: Bacterial small subunit ribosomal RNA
Source: RNAcentral
UACGAACUGUGCGAACGUUAUUCGGAAUCACUGGGCUUACAGGGUGCGUAGGCGGCUUGUUAAGUAGGGUGUGAAAGCCCCCGGCUCAACCGGGGAAUUGCGCCCUAAACUGGCGAGCUGGAGUGAGAUAGGGGUGUGUGGAACUUCCGGUGGAGCGGUGAAAUGUGUUGAUAUCGGAAGGAACGCCGGUGGCGAAAGCGGCACACUGGAUCUUGUCUGACGCUGAGGCACGAAAGCCAGGGGAGCGAACGGG